RNAcentral lists this ribosomal RNA (251 nucleotides) under uncultured prokaryote. Its description in RNAcentral is "partial 16S rRNA". It matches the Rfam family "Bacterial small subunit ribosomal RNA", at positions 525 to 775 of the family's 1533-position model. The record is from RNAcentral.
ACGUAGGGGGCAAGCGUUGCUCGGAAUUACUGGGCGUAAAGGGUGUGUAGGUGGCUGAUUAAGUUAAGGAUGAAAUCCCGAGGCUCAACUUCGGAACUGUCCUGGAUACUGGUCAGCUUGAGGCUAGUAAAGGAGAGCGGAAUUCCCGGGGGAGGGGUGAAAUGCGUAGAUACCGGGGGGAACACCAGAGGCGUAGGCGGUUCACUAGGCUGGUCCUGACAGUGAGGCACGAAAGCUGGGGGAGCAAACGG